AUAGGCCUGUUUUCGUGUGUAAUUUUCGUUCGUGCAUCCGCGCUAAGGCCAUGUUCUCCGCGGUAUGUGUGUUAUUCGUGAACGCAAUGGGAACGAGUCCUCGUCAACGCAGUUUAACGCGAUUGUAAGUAAAGGGAAGCAGCGGGCGCCUUCACCGGCGCGGCCCUCGGCGAUCGCUUUGUUUGGAUGUGUCGCGCGCACGGUUCAACGUUUGACUACCGGGGUUGCGCGUUGUCGCAGUGCAGUGAUGAUUAUAUGCCAGUGCUCAUCGUGAAACUACACAAACCGCAUCACUGCUGAUGGAGCUGCCACGUACGUACACGGCGGCGCCCAAGAAGACCUUUUCUGAGGAGAAUGCACGCCUGGCGAUUGUCACUUGCAGUCGUAACUUUUACAAAGCUGUUUUCACAACGCGGACGACACCGUGUCAAAGGAGGUUAUGGAAGAAAGACUGAAAGCAGUGCACUGGUACCCCUUGCAGCAAUUGGGUAAUGUGCUGUAGUAGUGAACUUUGCAAUAAAGUUUUAUCUC
Molecule: long non-coding RNA, 531 nt
Organism: Dermacentor silvarum
Lineage: Eukaryota; Metazoa; Arthropoda; Arachnida; Ixodida; Ixodidae
Exons: 2
Source: RefSeq, a predicted model, not a curated record